AGAAAGUGCAGAGGGGGAGGGGGGUGGAGAGGAGAAGGUGCCCAGGCAGGGAGCACUUAGCUCAAACUACCCAGCUCUGGCAUGCAAGCUGGAACCAUCACACUGACAUCAUGAAACCUGUGGCAGAGGCUUUAUGUAUCAAGCUGGGUACUAGCAUGGGCUGCCUGCCAAACCUAGCUCCCCAGUGCAUACUUGGUUCAUGGGGGGUCAGCUGGGGGCUCUGGUGCCUAAUGUCCAGCCCAAGGCUGCCUGAGCUGCACAACUUCCCUGGUCACUCUCCCCUGAUGGUACUGGCACCAGCAGUCAGCAGUGGCUUUCAUCCUGGAAACCCCAGGUGGAUCCUGGAUGCUCAGCCUGCAGACAAACAUCCUCAGGGCUGUUCCCUAGCAACCCACUCUGCUCCAGAGCUGCGAGUCCACAGCAAAAGCCCUCCCAUCCAUUUGCAACGAGGCGUUUGGUUUUAGGUGCUCCGGGAUGCUUCCUAAUGUCCCUUCAAUGAUCCACGAAGCCAUUUGCUUAUAAAAUCUGCCAUGUGCCUUCCUUCUCCUGCCCCCACCCCUGCCCUUCCGCCAGAACGAAGUGCAGUGAACUCUCUGCGACAGACGCAGCCAGUGGAACCCUGGGUGGCUUGUCGAACAAAGCCCUCAUUCCACUGUGGCGGCGGCAGCGUGGGGCAACUUCCCUUGUGGGGAUGCUGCUGCCCACCGUGGGCUGUGCUGGAAGAGGGUGGAGGGAUGGCCAGGAUCCAGAAGACAAGAAGGAAAACAAGCCCUGCGCCAGGCAGAGUAACUGCAGAUCCAAUGGAAAAGGCGCCCAGCCUACUGAGAUGCCAAUUAGUUUCCCUGUCCACGGUGGGCCAGCAUCCCCGCAGGAAGAAAUCCAGGGAGCAGACAGUGAGGUCCUCGGAAAGCCCAGCUGUGAUGAAUAGGACUUCUGGUUCCCCUGGGAUCUGGCUGGUUAUUUUGUAGGAAAUUGAAUUUCUUGACCAACCCACUGGGCAUCUUCAGAAACUUCUGCACCUCCAUUGCUUCCGCUGCAGUGAGAGCAGGACUCCAGGUCGGGAGGGCAGACGUCCAGAGCCUCCAGGCCAUGGCUUGCUGGUCUGGUGAGCUGUGUUCCCUCUACCCACCCUGCUUCACCUGAGCUGACUGUCCUCAGAUGCUCCAGCUGAGCUCCUUGGCAGGUGGGGCCUUUGAGUGAGCUCUUCUGCUGCCAGGGAAGUUCUCAACCUGGACAUAAACAUGGCUCCCUUCCAGAAACAGACCCUAGUCUCUAGUCUUCCCUAUCACACUUCUCUGUGGCCUUUGUCCACGCCUGUCCCACUGUAUAUGUCCCCGGAACAUGAGCUUUGGGAAGACACAUGCAGGGGUUACUUUGGUCAUUGUCAUCGAAUCUCUUGCACCCAAUCCAAGCGCACGUGCGAGGAGCUGCUCCACAGCUGCCUGCCUGGUAAACGAAGGAGGGGGACAGAUUCGGCCUCCAGGCCCACCUGGCCUCCUCAGUCCAUCCCAGGAUGGCCUCUUUUGGCUUAUCUCAGGCCAGUGCAAACUGCCAGACUUUUCUAUUUUUAAAAGUAUUAUAACUGCUCAUCUUUAUGGAGUACAAUGCAGUCUCAAUUCAGGCACACAUUGUGUUAUGAUCAAAUCAAGGUAAUUAGCAUAUCUAUCGCUACAUACAUUUAUCGUUCCUUUGUGGUUAGAGCAAUCAAAACCUCUCUUUUAGCUGUUUUGAAAUACACAAUACAUCACUGUGAACUGUGGUCGCCCUAAUAUGCAAUAAAAUGCCAGAACUUAUUUCUCUAA
This is a long non-coding RNA of Cavia porcellus (domestic guinea pig), 1802 nucleotides long. RefSeq lists it as uncharacterized. The record is from RefSeq and is a predicted model, not a curated record. The transcript has 3 exons. NCBI's taxonomy places the organism in Eukaryota, Metazoa, Chordata, Mammalia, Rodentia, Caviidae.